Molecule: unclassified non-coding RNA, 267 nt
Filed under: Hevea brasiliensis (rubber tree)
Lineage: Eukaryota; Viridiplantae; Streptophyta; Magnoliopsida; Malpighiales; Euphorbiaceae
Source: RNAcentral
AUAAAAUCUAGAGUAGAAAUUGAUGAUUUUAUGAAAUUUAACGCAAAGGGGGGGGGAAAAAGAAAAGUUUAGUGCUAUAGUGACUGGCAACUAUUUUUAAUGAUUGAUCUUUAAAAAUAUUUUUCUUGUAAUCACAAAUAAGUGACUUUCUUUAUAUACCAUAAUUAACUGUGCUUUGCAUAUCAAACUGAACAGUUUUGUGGCUGUGAAGUGUUUUGAAGUAUAAAGCAUAUCAUUUCUGUCAAUUUGCUUCUUGAGAUCAAGGGA